GACGAACGCUGGCGGCGUGCUUAACACAUGCAAGUCGAGCGGUAAGGCCCUUUCGGGGGUACACGAGCGGCGAACGGGUGAGUAACACGUGGGUGACCUGCCCUUAGCUCUGGGAUAAGCCUGGGAAACUGGGUCUAAUACCGGAUAUGACUCCAUGACGCAUGUUGUGGGGUGGAAAGCCUUGUGCGGCUAGGGAUGGGCCCGCGGCCUAUCAGCUUGUUGGUGGGGUGAUGGCCUACCAAGGCGACGACGGGUAGCCGGCCUGAGAGGGCGACCGGCCACACUGGGACUGAGACACGGCCCAGACUCCUACGGGAGGCAGCAGUGGGAAUCUUGCGCAAUGGGCGAAAGCCUGACGCAGCGACGCCGCGUGAGGAUGACGGCCU
This 386-nucleotide ribosomal RNA is filed under the name uncultured bacterium. RNAcentral's name for it is "bacterial SSU rRNA". It matches the Rfam family "Bacterial small subunit ribosomal RNA", at positions 28 to 417 of the family's 1533-position model. The record is from RNAcentral.